This 280-nucleotide unclassified non-coding RNA is filed under the name Moritella viscosa. RNAcentral's name for it is "putative sRNA". Lineage: Bacteria; Pseudomonadati; Pseudomonadota; Gammaproteobacteria; Alteromonadales; Moritellaceae. The record is from RNAcentral.
AUCAAUCCAAAACUGUCGUUUUAAAUAUUAAUUAGAAGGCAGUUUAGUUUUUUUUCGACUCAAAUGUGACAUCAAAACACCGCUUAAGAUGAAUUUCUAAAAAUAUACAUGUGCUUCACAUCUCAAUAUUGACCGUUAACGAAAAGCUAUUUGACAAAGUAUUCCUCUUCAGAAAAACCUCUUAAUUCUGUCUUCAAAUUUUCAACAACAAAACAUUGCCCUGCAUUAUAGUGAAUAUGUCGAUUACAAAACUUUUCAAUUUAACCACAUAAUUAUUAUG